RNAcentral lists this ribosomal RNA (253 nucleotides) under uncultured bacterium. RNAcentral describes it as "partial 16S ribosomal RNA". It matches the Rfam family "Bacterial small subunit ribosomal RNA", at positions 524 to 776 of the family's 1533-position model. The record is from RNAcentral.
UACAGAGGGUGCGAGCGUUAAUCGGAAUUACUGGGCGUAAAGCGUGCGUAGACGGUAGCGUAAGUCGGGUGUGAAAGCCCCGGGCUCAACCUGGGAACAGCAUUCGAGACUGCUCUGCUAGGGUGCGGAAGAGGGAAGCGGAAUUUCCGGUGUAGCGGUGAAAUGCGUAGAUAUCGGAAGGAACAUCAGUGGCGAAAGCGGCUUCCUGGUCCAGCACCGACGUUCAGGCACGAAAGCGUGGGGAGCAAACAGG